GACUCUCGGCAACGGAUAUCUCGGCUCUCGCAUCGAUGAAGAACGUAGCGAAAUGCGAUACUUGGUGUGAAUUGCAGAAUCCCGCGAACCAUCGAGUCUUUGAACGCAAGUUGCGCCCGAAGCCGUCAGGCCGAGGGCACGUCUGCCUGGGCGUCA
Molecule: ribosomal RNA, 156 nt
Filed under: Hymenodictyon parvifolium
Lineage: Eukaryota; Viridiplantae; Streptophyta; Magnoliopsida; Gentianales; Rubiaceae
Description: 5.8S ribosomal RNA
Rfam family: 5.8S ribosomal RNA
About the family: 5.8S ribosomal RNA (5.8S rRNA) is a component of the large subunit of the eukaryotic ribosome. It is transcribed by RNA polymerase I as part of the 45S precursor that also contains 18S and 28S rRNA.
Source: RNAcentral